AAAUAAGAUGUCUGAAAAAAAGAAUUAUCUUGAUAGGAUAAAUUAUGUAAUUUUAUUACUCUUAUU
Molecule: transfer RNA, 66 nt
Filed under: Scolytinae sp. 6 ACP-2013
Lineage: Eukaryota; Metazoa; Arthropoda; Insecta; Coleoptera; Curculionidae
Description: tRNA-Ile
Source: RNAcentral